Molecule: ribosomal RNA, 497 nt
Filed under: uncultured bacterium
Lineage: Bacteria
Description: partial 16S ribosomal RNA
Rfam family: Bacterial small subunit ribosomal RNA
Source: RNAcentral
GAUGAACGCUGGCGGCGUGCCUAAUACAUGCAAGUCGAGCGAACGGACGAGAAGCUUGCUUCUCUGAUGUUAGCGGCGGACGGGUGAGUAACACGUGGAUAACCUACCUAUAAGACUGGGAUAACUUCGGGAAACCGGAGCUAAUACCAGAUAAUAUUUUGAACCGCAUGGUUCAAAAGUGAAAGACGGUGUUGCUGUCACUUAUAGAUGGAUCCGCGCUGCAUUAGCUAGUUGGUAAGGUAACGGCUUACCAAGGCAACGAUGCAUAGCCGACCUGAGAGGGUGAUCGGCCACACUGGAACUGAGACACGGUCCAGACUCCUACGGGAGGCAGCAGUAGGGAAUCUUCCGCAAUGGGCGAAAGCCUGACGGAGCAACGCCGCGUGAGUGAUGAAGGUCUUCGGAUCGUAAAACUCUGUUAUUAGGGAAGAACAUAUGUGUAAGUAACUGUGCACAUCUUGACGGUACCUAAUCAGAAAGCCACGGCUAACUACGUG